Molecule: unclassified non-coding RNA, 200 nt
Filed under: uncultured Sebacina
Lineage: Eukaryota; Fungi; Basidiomycota; Agaricomycetes; Sebacinales; Sebacinaceae
Description: sequence contains ITS1
Source: RNAcentral
GUGAAUCUUCAAAGUCGGCUCGUCGGAUUGUGCUGGUGGAGACACAUGUGCACAUCUACGAGUCGCAAAUCCACACACCUGUGCAUCUAUGACUCUGAGUGCCGCUUUACAUGGCCUUUGAUUGGGCCUGGCGCUCGAGUACUUUCACACACUCUUGAAUGUAACGGAAUGUCUUGUUGUGCAUACUGUACAAACCAAAA